Molecule: transfer RNA, 125 nt
Filed under: Planctomycetota bacterium
Lineage: Bacteria; Pseudomonadati; Planctomycetota
Description: Planctomycetes bacterium (activated sludge metagenome) tRNA-OTHER
Rfam family: tRNA
About the family: Transfer RNA (tRNA) molecules are approximately 80 nucleotides in length. Their secondary structure includes four short double-helical elements and three loops (D, anti-codon, and T loops).
Source: RNAcentral
GGACAGGUAGUCUAAAAAACACGCCGUCUUGCUCUUUUGUCCAAUCCUGGGCCGAUUUUAGAUGGUUAUGGCAAAGACAUUUCUGUAAGAAGAAACUAUUGUUGGUUCGAUUCCAACCCUGUCCA